CUUGUAUUUUGACAUACACACAAAUAUGAAGAAAGUACUCAGGGUUCAUCAAAUUGUUUACCACCCAUGCAAAAGGAAUCUCCAUCUUUGGUUCAAUUCCCUGAAUGCGCAGGAGCUUGAUCUCAGCACCAUCUGAAAUAGAGCAAGAGACGAUGCCCUCAUUCAACAUCUCCCCACUUCGUUCCGUGUUGCUCUUGUUUGUUUCUUCUGGAGAUGAUCUCUGUUCAACCUCAACUUCUUCUUUAGAUACAUCAUCUGUUGGCGGAAGUUUUUCCCCAAAAAACUCGGGCAGAAGUUUUGUUACUGCAUCAUACAAGGUGAAGCAUUUACCAUCUCCAUGGAUCUGAACAGGUCUGUUUAUGUAAGAGAUUCUGUCCCAACUUUCAACAACAGGUGCAUCUUCUAACUCGUCAAAAUCCUCAUUGAUAGUUCUAACAUACAGUCGAACCGGUAUUCUACCAGUUUUAGCUGGUGCUGUGCCAUCUGCAUUUUGAGUGCUUUCCGGUGAUUUAGGAGAGGAAAUGUUCAAUUGUAUCGAAAAAUCAUCCACAAGUAUGCCGAAUUUUAGCUUAGAUGAGAUUCGAAGAUAAGAGUCCAAAUCACCAUCCAUAAUGGAGCGCCAGAGUUCUAAUUGGUCAGAUUGGGACAUAUUCAUUACAUUUUUGCAGUUCCCAUUGAUUAUAUAUGCUGCCUCUUUAAAUGAAUUGAUAAAGCUCCAUUUUACACUAUCUUCACUGUCACAGGGUGUUAAAAUAUUUCCAGGAUAUCCUCUAAAAUGUACCGUCAGAUUCCAAGGCCGUUCAGGUUCUGCACAAAGAAGAUCAAAGAGUACCCCAGUAGGUAUAUACCAUUUGAGAGGCAAGCCAUUGUACUCAAACCAUAUGGUAUCUACACCUGGAGGAAGUGAAUUACUGAAGAAAGGCUUUACUUUUUGUGCUAAAAGAGGCAGGUACCCAAUUCGAGGAGCUAAAAUCAUAGCAGGGGGAGGAGUAGGGAGAGUAGUGAUUUCGGAUUCAUGAAGAUGAAUCUGCAGAGGGAUUGCUCCUUCCCAUAUAUACUUCUGUGCUUCAGUUCCUCCUCCUUUACUUUCCAUUAUCUUCAAUUCACCCUUCUCUUCUCUUCUCUUCUUCAGCACAGAAAAAGGUAAUAGUCGACGUUCUCUCCAAUAACUUUACUUCUUUUCGGGUGCAGCGAACUGGAAUUACAGCUUAACUAUGAAGCUUCCGCCACCAAUCUCGAAAGAUUCCGACGGAAACUUGGAUUUCGAACAGAUGAUCCCCGAAAUUUUGUUUGAACUCG
RNAcentral lists this unclassified non-coding RNA (1299 nucleotides) under Hevea brasiliensis (rubber tree). The record is from RNAcentral. Lineage: Eukaryota; Viridiplantae; Streptophyta; Magnoliopsida; Malpighiales; Euphorbiaceae.